GUCUAAAAUGCAAACUCACUGUUACAGACACACAGCCCAUCCACAGAGAGAGAGAGAGAGUUUGCCAUUUUUGUGUCCUCUGCCCUCACGCACCCACACAGUGACCGUUCUUUUCUGUCUGUCCAACCUCCACAAAGCUGGAAACGGAGUGACUGUUCAUGAUUAUGAACGCCAACUCCUCCUCUUCAACUUCAACUUCGACAGCAGGAGCAGGAGCAGAAACAGGUGCGAAUCCUGCUGGUCCUUCUCAAUCAAUGGCUACACCUACAUCAUCAUCAACACCACCAGCUACAGGUACAGGUACAGGUACAACAGCAGCAGCUAGCAGCGAUGGGUCAGGCAAGAAAGUUAGAAAACCUUAUACAAUCACCAAGUCUCGUGAGAGUUGGACUGAAGAAGAGCAUGACAAGUUCCUUGAAGCCCUUCAAUUGUUUGAUCGUGACUGGAAAAAGAUUGAAGAUUUUGUGGGUUCAAAGACGGUGAUCCAGAUUCGGAGUCAUGCCCAGAAAUACUUUUUGAAGGUCCAAAAGAAUGGUACAAGUGCGCAUGUUCCUCCUCCUCGCCCUAAACGCAAAGCCUCUCAUCCUUACCCACAGAAGGCGUCGAAAAAUGUUUUAGUGCCGCUCCCAGCAUCCAUGGCUUACGCUUCAUCGAUGAAUACCUUUGCACCAGGAUAUGCUCUAUGGGAUGAAACUUCAGUGUUAAUAAACUCCGCAACAAGCAAAAUCAUGCCAUCACAAGAUGAACUUCCAAAUCUUCACGGAGCUGAAGCUGAUAUUGGACCAAAGUGUGUAUCAAGUAGUAACAAUACUGUCAGUGGCCUUGGGACCUCAAGUAGAACAUUGCCAAGUGCUGAGAUGCCAAAACAAGGGAAGCAAGCGCCUGUGCUUCAUGGUAUACCAGAUUUUGCUGAAGUAUAUAGCUUCAUUGGAAGUGUCUUUGAUCCAGACACGAAAGGGCAUGUGGAAAAGCUACAGGAAAUGGACCCUAUAAAUUUUGAAACUGUUUUGUUGUUGAUGCGGAACCUUACUGUUAACUUGUCUAGCCCUGAUUUUGAGCCAUAUUUUACCUCCUUGGUUGAUUCAGAGGAAGGUUAUGUCAUCAUAUGAUGUCAAUACCAAAACAGUGGGAGUUUCUGCCCUGAAACAGACCAAUGAUAUAGCAUGUUGAACUACUUACAUUUUGCUGACUUUAACGUGGUGAUGUUGGCUGGAAUUCUUGCUGCAUCACUAAAAUCAAAUAAAUGUGUCUGCUUUAUCUUUCUGCACAUGCCUGGAAGUUCAUUCUGAGACAGGCUGUGGCAGCCACGCCAAGGGAGAGUUUAUGAUGGUAGAACAAAGUUUUCUACUGAUUUUCAAGGUCCAUGAACGGUGAACCUUGACGUCUACUGACCUGAAUAGCAAUGGCUGUUUCUAUAUAUUCUAUUGACGAUUUGGCCUCCAACCAAACAAGUGUGUAUAUCUUGUGAGACCUGUUCGGCCGUCCCUUGAGAUUAAUAUUAGCGGGGUACAUUUUGCCAAGGCCUUGUAACUAAAAGAGCUUGAACACACGAGGAAAAAGUACUUCCCUUCCCUUCAGACUUGUGAAGUAGGUUACUCUGUGUAUUAGAAUGAACCUCCAUUUGUUGACAAUAUACUGUGUUUUUGCUUCUGUAAUGUUUCAGCUAAGAAAUCGGAUUUCUUUCUCA
This is an RNA transcript of Populus trichocarpa (black cottonwood), 1687 nucleotides long. It is a transcript of the gene named protein REVEILLE 8, with no coding region annotated. The record is from RefSeq and is a predicted model, not a curated record. The transcript has 9 exons. Lineage: Eukaryota; Viridiplantae; Streptophyta; Magnoliopsida; Malpighiales; Salicaceae.